Molecule: non-coding RNA, 23 nt
Filed under: Arabidopsis thaliana (thale cress)
Lineage: Eukaryota; Viridiplantae; Streptophyta; Magnoliopsida; Brassicales; Brassicaceae
Source: RNAcentral
UUAUGAUGCUAUAAUAUUCAGUG